GGUCUUUGUGAUUUUAUUAGAGUUCUCUGGAGAAACAAAACCAGUAGGAUAUAUGAUUUAGAUAAAGGAAUUAUUAUGGAAAUUAACUCAUGUGAUUAUGGAGACUGAGAAGUCCUGUAAUUUGUAAGCUAGAGAACUAGGAAAGAUGGUGGUAUAACUCUUUUUUUUUUUUUUUUUUUUUUUUUGAGACGGAGUUUCACUCUCGUUACCCAGGCUGGAGUGCAAUGGCGCGAUCUCAGCUCAUUACAAACUACAGCCUUGUGAGAGACCCUGAGCCCGAUAUGAAUACUAACAACAACAACAACAACAAAAAACAAAGUAGGGUGAUAUUUUUAAGAUAAUGAGAGACAGUCCAAUCACAGAGCACAGGAAGGAUUAAAUCUAUCUUCUUCCCUUUUUAACCAGAUGAAGACAUCGUAUUUGAGUACAGAUACAGGAUGGUUGGUGGAAUUGAUAGUUGAAAGAUGAGAUAGUUCUAAUCUGAUUGCAUCUCUUUUCUCUGUGAAGUUCAAAGCAAGGUCAUUAGCUGAGAGCUGUGAGGAAAGGGAAGGAAUGUUGGAAAUAUGAGAAGAGCAGAGAUGUGAAUAAUUAUCUUAGAAGUUGGGAAAACACAUUUCCUAGGGAAGUAAGUUGUCUGGCAGUAUUGAGUUCUGUUUUGAGAUCUGUGAUUAUACAUUUGAAAUCAGUCCAGUUAGAGUGGUUCUGUGAUUUUCUUCAGUAACAUUUAACUGUUCGGGUAGAGGCAAAAUUGCACAGUUGGGUUUAACCAGCACAGGAGUUUUACCCAGUGAGGAGCAAGGGAGUUAAUGGAUGUUUGCAAGGGAGCAUUUUAGUGCCAGAUCACGUCAUUUAGGCUGGUUGGGAGAUAAGCUAGGAUAAGAGGGUGGGUGAUAGUUAAGAAAAAUUGUAGAGUGAACAUUAUAUGUCAAGAUUGAUGGUAGAAUGGGGGUUGUAGGAAUAGGUGUGCUAGAGAGUUGGUGUAAGUGUGCUGGACUAUAGGAGAUAAUGGUCAAAGAAAAGGGUGUUUGAAAUUGAGAUGCUG
RNAcentral lists this long non-coding RNA (1042 nucleotides) under Callithrix jacchus (white-tufted-ear marmoset). Its description in RNAcentral is "lncRNA (ENSCJAG00000073093.1)". The record is from RNAcentral. Lineage: Eukaryota; Metazoa; Chordata; Mammalia; Primates; Cebidae.